Molecule: long non-coding RNA, 1128 nt
Organism: Ictalurus punctatus (channel catfish)
Lineage: Eukaryota; Metazoa; Chordata; Actinopteri; Siluriformes; Ictaluridae
Source: Ensembl
ACUGCCAGCAGAUGGCACUGCAGCGCGGCUUCUGACGGGACACGUGACUCUUGUUUUGGUUUGUUCGCUUCCUGUUUAGACAUUGGCUUAUGUGCGAGGGUAUAGCUUAAUUUGAGCCAGGUGUCCAUGUUUAGCUUGAUUAUGUUGAUUAUUUAAACCCCUCGGUGACUGCACACUUUGCGCAGUCUUAUACUUUGUACCAAAUGUCUGACGAUAGUGAACGCAUUAGCAUGCUAAGCGGUCUUAGUGUCAUGUUUGAAGCCAGAUUUGGCUAGACCGUGUUUCCUUGUGUUUGGUUGCUUGCUUGGUUUAUCAAUAAAGACUUUGCUCUACACCUGCAUCCGCUUCCAGUCCCGUUCCGUGACAUAAUACUGCGCCCCGAGCAUGGAAGCAGCAGAUCAACGUGAGCACCGAGUUCGAGAAGUUGGGCCGAUCGUUCUGGGAAGAGAGUAAGCGUAUCGACAAAAGACUUGCCCAGAUCGAUCGCCAGCUAAUGCAACGAGGGCUGCUGCAGCAAGCCGGCCCAUGCGCCAUAUCGCCACCCGCGCAAUUUCCCACGUCCCGGCUGCCGGAGAGUUAUGCCGUGCCGCGUGGGUAACAGAGCUACUCGAACUCCUGGAGCUUCCCACUUUAGGGGAAUUAUACUACGCCAUGCAGCCAGUAAAGAUACCCGUCCUCCUGGAGCCUCCCACUGCAGGGGAAUUGCACCACGCUGCCCAGCCCAGAACCGAAGGCUAGCCUAGAACUUAUUUUGGGUGGGGGUCAAUGACGACAGCAGAGCUCCAGCGUGAGGCCUAUGGGGAGGCCUCAGCUGUGGAGCUCCCGCCUGAGGUCAACAUGGCAACCUCAGAGCUACAGCUUGAGGCCUACGGGGAGGUCUCUGCUGUGUAGCUCCUGCACGUCAAAGAAGCUGUCCCGCCGCCCUGCCCUAAGGUUACUCAAAUAGUCACUAUUUACAAACGUGGUGGGGAGAAAAGCAUCUCAGAACACACAUCACGUCGAAACUUGAGAUCGUGCUCGUUCAUUCAGAUUCCUGUCAUUUAGAGAGUCUUGUGCUGGCCGUGUGCGGAUCUUGCGAUCGCAAAACUCUUGGCCUCUAGACAGAGGUAACUGAACUAAUAUAUAUAU